Long non-coding RNA from Brassica napus (rape), 690 nucleotides. RefSeq lists it as uncharacterized. The record is from RefSeq and is a predicted model, not a curated record. The transcript has 3 exons. Lineage: Eukaryota; Viridiplantae; Streptophyta; Magnoliopsida; Brassicales; Brassicaceae.
GCCUUUAGAGUAAAACUAGGCCUUAGCCCAAAUUAGAGAAAUCGAGGAGAUGAAACGGACGAAGGUUUGUGUCGUUGAAUCCGAUGAAGCAGGUGAAGAUUCAAGCAAGCCAUUGUUGUUUCAUCUUUGAGGAAAGCCGAGGACUUCUUUCACGGUAGCUGAGAAUUCUGUCUCGUAUUUGUCGAUCAAUCAGCCUAGUCAGCACAUCAACAGAUCGGAACGUAUUACGGUGAAGGCGAUUGUUUCUUUCUUGCCAAGUACAUGAGAUGCAACAUUGCCAGACCGCAACGACGAGCUAGAGGGAACCACAAGCUCCACGAGUAAGGACACAAAAAGUAGAGAUGAUCACACGACUCUGGAGAGGAGUUACAGAGCAAGCAAGUUGGUGAAGUUAGGAGUCCCCAGCUCAGUAACCUGUCUCUUGUGGGACAACGAUUCAAAAGAAAUAGCCUACAGAGGAAGGAAUGCUUUGGAAUCCCUCCGACAAUCCCGACAAUAUGAACCCAAGGAACAUUUUCUCCAUGUCUAGAUAAGAUUGCAUAAACUUUACCUGUUGAGAAGGUUCCAGUGAUUGUUUCUGAAGAGGGAAGACAGAGUGGCAUUUUCUCGGAUUCCCAGAGAGGAGUUCAAGUCUGUCGCUAGAUAACUUUUCAGACAGCCAAAAGUUGACCAGUUAUCGGUCCAUAAGCG